RNAcentral lists this ribosomal RNA (759 nucleotides) under Acinetobacter junii. RNAcentral describes it as "bacterial SSU rRNA". It matches the Rfam family "Bacterial small subunit ribosomal RNA", at positions 56 to 807 of the family's 1533-position model. Lineage: Bacteria; Pseudomonadati; Pseudomonadota; Gammaproteobacteria; Moraxellales; Moraxellaceae. The record is from RNAcentral.
UGCAAGUCGAGCGGAGCAUGAGGUGCUUGCACCUUAUCUUAGCGGCGGACGGGUGAGUAUUUUUUAGGAAUCUGCCUAUUAGUGGGGGACAACAUUCCGAAAGGAAUGCUAAUACCGCAUACGUCCUACGGGAGAAAGCAGGGGAUCUUCGGACCUUGCGCUAAUAGAUGAGCCUAAGUCGGAUUAGCUAGUUGGUGGGGUAAAGGCCUACCAAGGCGACGAUCUGUAGCGGGUCUGAGAGGAUGAUCCGCCACACUGGGACUGAGACACGGCCCAGACUCCUACGGGAGGCAGCAGUGGGGAAUAUUGGACAAUGGGGGGAACCCUGAUCCAGCCAUGCCGCGUGUGUGAAGAAGGCCUUAUGGUUGUAAAGCACUUUAAGCGAGGAGGAGGCUACUGAGACUAAUACUCUUGGAUAGUGGACGUUACUCGCAGAAUAAGCACCGGCUAACUCUGUGCCAGCAGCCGCGGUAAUACAGAGGGUGCGAGCGUUAAUCGGAUUUACUGGGCGUAAAGCGUGCGUAGGCGGCUUUUUAAGUCGGAUGUGAAAUCCCCGAGCUUAACUUGGGAAUUGCAUUCGAUACUGGGAAGCUAGAGUAUGGGAGAGGAUGGCAGAAUUCCAGGUGUAGCGGUGAAAUGCGUAGAGAUCUGGAGGAAUACCGAUGGCGAAGGCAGCCGUCUGGCCUAAUACUGACGCUGAGGUACGAAAGCAUGGGGGAGCAAACAGGAUUAGAUACCCUGGUAGUCCAUGCCGUAAAC